This 331-nucleotide long non-coding RNA is filed under the name Bos taurus (domestic cattle). RNAcentral describes it as "long non-coding RNA NONBTAT018408". Lineage: Eukaryota; Metazoa; Chordata; Mammalia; Artiodactyla; Bovidae. The record is from RNAcentral.
GGUGUUAUGGCAAAGCUGUAAUGUCUUUACUCUCAGAACCGUUAGUUUUGAAAGUGUAUGUAAUAUUUCCUGAAUAUUUCACAUUGCCUUUUUCUCAAGAUUGGAAAGAUAGUUAGUGACCAGGAAUUUGUCCCUAAAGAACAAAAGUUGCAGGUUGAUAAUACUGAUAAGGACAAGAGAUAUGAAGUGUAUUUUUAGCAAAUUCUUGAUAGUCAAAGUAGAUUUGGGUAGUUAUUUGUUUUUAUUGUUUUAGAUUAAAAAAAAACUCUUGUAGGAGAAAAUUCAUGAUGAAUGAGAGAAAUUAAACAAGUGAUAAUAUCAAGAUUAAAUU